Non-coding RNA from Petromyzon marinus (sea lamprey), 361 nucleotides. The record is from RefSeq and is a predicted model, not a curated record. Lineage: Eukaryota; Metazoa; Chordata; Hyperoartia; Petromyzontiformes; Petromyzontidae.
AUUUCCCCCCCCCCCAGCGCCUGCUUUUUUGUCUUGGACUGCAGAGCGAUCGCUGAACGAGCUGGCGGCCACCGAUUGAAAGGGGGUGGCACAGAAACAGCGCUCCGCGUGUGGGGCGAGGCGAGCGGCGGCGGAGUGCGGCUCUCAUUCAUCACAACUCUGGCACAAUCGCAAGAUGAAGCUGCUGGUUGGAGUCACCGGCGAGACGCCGACGGCACUCAAAUUGCAAAUGUCGUGGGAGAGUGCUGCUCGGGGUGGUGGUGGUGGUGUUGGGAGCGCAGCUGUCGUCCGUAAUUCGAUGAAAAUGAACCACGAGCCACGAGAUCGCUGAGCUUCCGAUGUGAUGGAAGCGCAGGCGAGU